UGAUCUGGCUCACUAUUGCCGCAUGAAA
RNAcentral lists this unclassified non-coding RNA (28 nucleotides) under Mus musculus (house mouse). Its description in RNAcentral is "oocyte_clustered_small_RNA13773". The record is from RNAcentral. Lineage: Eukaryota; Metazoa; Chordata; Mammalia; Rodentia; Muridae.